Callorhinus ursinus (northern fur seal) is the source of this 1376-nucleotide non-coding RNA. The record is from RefSeq and is a predicted model, not a curated record. Lineage: Eukaryota; Metazoa; Chordata; Mammalia; Carnivora; Otariidae.
GAAGGGGCGAGGGGCCCGGCGCACGCGCAGAGCCGCACAGCAUGGCCGCUGCAAGACGUUAGGGGACGGGGAGUGAGGAGCGGUGCUCCUGCGUGCCCACACGGAGACAGUGGGGUCCGCGGGGCCACAUGGUCGUCGGCCGAGCUGAGGGGUGGGCCCUCUGCAGGCGGAAAACGCAGUUGUUCCCUGCAGGAUUAAACCUUUACAAAUCGUGUGUGACCCCCCCCCCCCAGCAGUUCUGCCCGCCCCUCCGGCCCAGAGUUGGGUGUUACAGGUAAAUCGGGAAUUUGUUACCGCUUUCCUUCUCCAUUAUUGUCUCUGAAGGAGCAACUGGGGUCGGCAGGUCGUGGCAGAUGAACACGCUCAAGUAUGUGGCCGGUUUUAAAGUAAGGAAACUGUACUUUUAUAUUCCCACGUCAGAGAAAUGAGGUGUCAGAGGCCACACCUGCGGACAGUGUCCGGAUGUACAAGGGGGGGUGUGUGCUGCCCCGGGCCGGCACCUUGAGCCCCAGCUCGCCCUCAGGGACGGGUCUCCCCAUAGUCCAGGUCUGCUCGUCGUGCCAUCUCCAUAUUCCUCAUCUCUCUGAUGCCCUUUCACGUGCGCCCUCGUUCCUCCAUCGGCACUUUGAGACCUACCUCACGUGGCAUCUCUUUGGACCUGACCCUGGAGAGGACACGGAUCCCUCCUUUGUGGGCAUACUGUGCCCCAGGACUUGGACUUGCACAGCUAGUUGCUGAUGCCAUUCUGUACUGAUUUCCCUUGUGUCUCCCUGCCUCUUUUAAGAUACAGGGUGGACAUUGUGUCUUAUUUACACUUCAGUCUCUCUUAGCACAGUGCCUGGAACUAACAGACACAAGAAACACUUGUUGCCUGACCGGCUGAGUGAAUGCGUGAACACGUGGUUUCCUGAAGUUUCUGCCAUGUUCAGUACAGGAAGAGUGGCAAAGCAGGCAACCACGGAGAAGGAAGAGGGUGUCUCUGUUGUCGAGACAGUCUCCGAGAUGGUAGACACGAGGCAAAGGUGUGACUUGGUUGGUGGUGCUGCUGUAGAAGAGGGGGAUCACUUAAUGAAGAUAUGUGGAGCCAGAAACAGUAUUUGCAUCUUCUUAAAGAUCAGCUCUAUUGAGGAUGUUUUUGAGCAUCGUCUUCUUAUGGAUUCAUGGAGUGACCGCUUUGUUCACCUAAGCUGUCUCGAAUUUUCCAUCACCACUGUCUGCUCACUCUGAUAGCUUUUGGUGAAGAGAAUUCGGAUACUGGCAAGUGAAUGUGGGUGGGUGUCUCAGUCUGGGGUUUCAGUUGCAGACUCUGAUAUGAGGAAUUUUUGAAAGGGUUAUAAAGGGUGUGUUCACUGGGAGACAUGGGAUGGGAGGGGAGG